CCGAGCGGGACACAGCCGGGACACGGCGUACAGCCAACCGGGGAGAUCCCGCAGCCACACGAGACGGUGUCGGCUGAGGCAUCGCCGCACCUCUGCUCUUCCCAGGGCAGAGUCCCAGCCCCUCGGCGUUCCGUGGGAGAGCAGAGUUACUCACUCGUUACUCCUAAGAUAGCCUUCUGGUGAUACUUAGUCAUACGAACGAAAGAGGUGAUGACCAGUGAUGGUUGCAUUUAGUGCUAUUACAAGAACUUGAUACACACCUUGUUACGCUGCACUCCUUCCAAGUUACAUGGGGCCCACCAAAACCAUCAGAUUUAUAUUUUGAUUAAGUGGCCACCCAAGGAUCGAAGAGCUUGGCAUUAUCAGCCCAAUCCACUGGGCAAGUCCCAGAGGCGAUGGUGGCCCUCAGCAGCUGCACCGAUCGCAGAGCUGGCGAUGGCAAACCUCCACCAGGGCACUUCUCACUGGUCAUGACUUGGUAAACAAGAAUGGGCUGUAUUGACUUCUGCAUUAGAAGAACCAAAUCCUGAGCCUAGCAUGGACUCCUGUGUGUAAAUGAGUGCCUGAAAAGAAGAAGGAUUUGUGAAAAUUAAUAGAAAGCAGGACUGCAAGGGUCUGUCAUUGUUACUGCGUUCAGCCUCCUGCCCUCAGACACGAUCCGCUCUCCCAUGGGAAUAUUUGUGGGAGUUUUAAGGGAGCUUUUUGGUUUUGAUUGAUUUUGAUUCCCUGCUUUCUCUACAGACUGUAUUUAUAUCAAAUGUAAGUUUAUAGUGUAAUUGACUUUCUCAUUUAAGUAAUCAGCUCCCAUCUGAAUCUGCUGGGUUUGGCAAGGCUGGAAGUUGGGGUACAGUGGUGUAUGAGAACUGAGAAGAGUAUCUGGGCUCCAGUACUGGUGAAUCUACCUCUUUAGAAUUUAUUGCCACAAAUAAUUUAGGAAAACAAAUAUGACUUAUUUAAAUGGUUUGUUUUUCAUGGUAGAACUGUGUCUUGAACUUACACAAAAUAGGAUCUGCUCUUAUUUAAAAAAUUGACGUGUUUUAAUUCUCACUUCAAGAUUUUAGAGAUAGUUAUGAGGGCUAACGUGGGGUAGCUUGUCUCCAGUGGCUGCUUCUGAGGAAGAAUCUGCACAUUUAGACUGACAUUAGCCUUUGGGAAUUGUCCUCUAAUAGUUCCCCAGGAACUACAAAAGAAAGAGGUAUUUGAUGUCACUGCAUGUUUCAGGCUCUUCAUUUUGACAUUAGCCAGAUGCUAUAUUCCAGUCAUGUAUUUCUGUGUAAACUGGUUUUAUUUAAACAAAUCUGCCAAACUCUUUAAAGGUUUCCCUGGUGGCAGAAAGUGAGCACAGGUAUUUAUUUAGCCUUCACCCCAUGACCUUCAUGUAGAGGUGGGUUAUGUCUCUAUAAAUGUGGAAAUAAGCAAAGGAGUGUUGGACAUUUUACCUCCUUGAUUGGAAGGACAUCCUG
This 1463-nucleotide long non-coding RNA is filed under the name Lonchura striata (white-rumped munia). RNAcentral describes it as "domestica (Bengalese finch) lncRNA (ENSLSDG00000013060.1)". The record is from RNAcentral. Lineage: Eukaryota; Metazoa; Chordata; Aves; Passeriformes; Estrildidae.